AGGGGAGAUUUGUUCAGUGGAUUCGGCGGCCGAGUGUCGACGGCGAGGCGGCUAGGGCACGACGGGUGCCCGAUCUGUGUUGUCCCCAGCGUAUCGGCCCUUCAUUCCUUCUCCACGAGUCAUUCCCGGAGCGAUCCGUGUCUUCUCUAGCCGUAUCGGACAGCGCCGUUGGAUUGAGCCGUGCCAUCGCCGAUCACCGGCGUGAGGGGACAAUUAGGGCUUCAAGGGUCAGGUCAUGGAUCGUUUGAGUGGAUCUUGGAUUCCUCUGCUGGAGCUAGGUCUUGGCAGACGCUGGCUAGCUGAGGGUCAGUAGAUUCAAUACAUUGCAUUAUGGAUUGGAUUAGGUGACACUUUCUGGAGGCAACCGAUCGAGUACUUGGACUUUCUCUUCUUCACUGUGAUUGAGGUCUCGGUUGAAGUGGAGAAGAAUCCCAGCAGUCAAUAGGUUCUGAUCAAUGAGGUGUGCUCAAGAUUUCAGCAAGGUUGAGUGCUGUGAACUUUCUUGGGUUCCAACAGCAACUACCCUAACUGACAGCAACAUCUUGGGUGGUGAUCUACUGGUGAUCACCUUGGAUUUGGGACUCUGAUUCGAGAUAGGCGUCUCGACUUCGGAUUUGGAUUGUACCUUCUAUUUGAG
Long non-coding RNA from Zingiber officinale, 637 nucleotides. RefSeq lists it as uncharacterized. The record is from RefSeq and is a predicted model, not a curated record. Lineage: Eukaryota; Viridiplantae; Streptophyta; Magnoliopsida; Zingiberales; Zingiberaceae. The transcript has 4 exons.